Non-coding RNA from Acanthosepion pharaonis, 109 nucleotides. The record is from the annotation of a GenBank genome assembly. NCBI's taxonomy places the organism in Eukaryota, Metazoa, Mollusca, Cephalopoda, Sepiida, Sepiidae.
GCCAUAUCACAUUGGAACACCUGUUCUCAUCUGAUCACAGAAGUUAAGCAAUGUAGUGCCUGGUCUGUACCUAGAUGGGUGACCACUUGGGAAUAACAGAUGCUGUAAG